CCCUUGAUAGCUCAGCUGGAAGAGGUACGUUUCUAGCUAUCUCGAGGCCCGCGGUUCGAUCCCGCGUCGAGGGA
Molecule: transfer RNA, 74 nt
Filed under: Pseudocercospora pini-densiflorae CBS 125139
Lineage: Eukaryota; Fungi; Ascomycota; Dothideomycetes; Mycosphaerellales; Mycosphaerellaceae
Description: tRNA-Ala (AGC) (tRNA-Ala-AGC-2-1)
Source: RNAcentral